Long non-coding RNA from Falco tinnunculus (common kestrel), 2540 nucleotides. Lineage: Eukaryota; Metazoa; Chordata; Aves; Falconiformes; Falconidae. The record is from Ensembl.
AUGAACUCCUCCUCACGGUGGUCUACAUUUGUCCAAACAAUUGUGAUAGAUUUACUUCAUAGCAGCAGGGCUUUACGCAGGUUCUGUCAUCAUGCGUCCACGCCAGGGUUUCAUGACACCUUGUACAGCUACCUAGGAGGUUGCAUCAUUUGUUCCUUCUUGCUCUCCAGCUGCCCCUUUAACAUUGAUGUCACCAGUUUCCUUCAAAUGCAGAUCCCUUCAAUCCUGUUUGCAAUUUUUCUCUACUAUAUGCAGGUCUCCUCCUCCCUCAGACCUCAGGUCUUGUGUCCAGCUCCUCCAGAUGUUUGUCCAGACCCUCAUGCAGCUGUUUCAAGUCACCCUGGAAAGAAGUAACCAUUGCUAUAGCAGGGCUUCCAGAAGAGGACAUGCAUUUGUCAGCUGCUCUGAAUGCAAACUCAGCAUCUCAGCUUGAAACACCAGCGCGGGUGGGUCUGAAUGAAGAAGUCAUACUUUGCCAUGAAACAGAUGGGGAGAUGCCAGCUCUACUGUGGGUUUGGUGAUCUCCAACAAGAGGCAGUAAAACUGCAGCAGCUGCUGAAUGCAAGUGGAAUCCUUCACAUGUGACAGCAAAAUUCUGUAAGGACUCCCUCCUACAGCUCUAUUUAAACCUGAGAUGGCAAAUGCUGGCGAAAGAAAAAUAAAACAAGAUAGAAAAUAUAAAACAAGAUAUUAAAAUGCAGUCAGUUCUUCCUCUUUCUGUUGUAACUUUAUUAGAAAACAAACAAACAAACAACCCCACAAAAAUCCCACACAGAAGAAAAACUACAUUAAACAUAAAAGAGCUGUUAUUUCCAAGACUUGUGCAAAUCUAAGAUCUGGCUUCUUUUGUACAUUUGUACUAAUUGUUUAGCAGGAAUGAAUCACAUUUGAUUUGAUUCUACUCUUUUGUGAUAAUAAAGAUCCAUGGAAUUCUAAAAGACAGGAAUUUUUUUUUUAAGUCUUCGUUUUUUUAGGACUGGGGAAGCUAGCUAAAAAUAAACCAGCAGCAUCCCUUGCCACAGGUUUUCUAAAAUGCGCAGGAUCACUCUGUCUCUCUGAAAUAUUCUUUACCUGGUACAAAUCACAAUAUGCAUUUGACAAGCUUCUAAUGGGCCAUUAUUGCCUUAAAGCAUCCCUCCAAAUUGCCUAGAAUAAUGGCAGAUGCCUUCACACACAUUAAAACUACAAAAAGAUAGCCAGCUAAUUCCCAACACUGUUUGAUCUACAACCAAAACUUUAAUAACAUUUUAAAGCAAAAUAUGGCAACAAAAUACAUUAAGCUUAAGGAACAAACUGAGCGGAGCUUGAAAUGCUGUUUCCACUAAACCCAACUUGGCCAGUCUAUUGACAACCCUGCUCCCAGAGAUGCAGCUUCAAAUUUUCCUCCAGCCUUUUGUUGCUUCUUGAGCAAAAUCCACGAUACCGAAAAAGGUGCAGUCUGGGUUUGCACAGCUCAGGGGGUUAACGAAAGGCACCGCCGCCCCCCUCAUGAGCCAGCAGGCAGGCUUGCAAAGCCUUUGAAUACCGGUGCAAGCACAUCGAGCCCGUGAGGUGAUGCUACCCAGCGCCCAAAUCAGCCCUAGAAAGAACCUGUAAAAAAACACACCCGAACGAGGCCCGAAGCCGUGCACCGGCGGCAGAAACCUCUCGGUAAUGUUAAUGGCUGAGGCCCCCAGGACCGACCCCCGGCCCCAGCAGAGGCAAGGCGCUGGGAAGCACCGCCGGGUCCCCGAAAGGCACCGAUAGGUCGCCGCAGGGAGGGAGGACGCCGGUUAACCCGUGCCCCAAGCCUUCACUCGGACCGGGGAGGGGCAGCCCGGCCCAGCCCGGCCAGGCCCCGCCGCGCCGCGGCACCGCCCCAGAGCGGCGCGCCCUCACGACACCCCCACCCCCAGCGGAAGCGGCCCUACGGCGCGUGCGCCGCGGGGCCGGCGGGCCCGUCCCUUUCCGGCCGGCACGCGACCUUCCUCGCCCGCCCGCGCCACUGGCGGCGGCGGCGCACUGCACCGGCGCACCGCACCCGCACGCGCUCCCCGCGCGGGUAGGGGCGGGGCGGGGCGCACGCGCGCGGCCGCUAACGCCCGCCCGGCCGCCUCCCUCCCGCCCGGCCCCGCUGGGCCGCUGAGCCGCUCAGCGCGCACGCGCCCUUUGACCCGGCCCGCUCCCCCCGCCCGCCGCGCACAUGUGCUCGCACGUAGGCGCACGCGCCCUGGCGCCGAACCCCCCCCGCCCCCGGUGACGUCGGCAGGCGCAGGCGCGCUCCCUCCCGGCCGCUUCCCCCGGCCGCCGCGGCGCAUGCGCCAGCGCUGCCGUCCACUCGGCCGGGCGCCGGCGCCGCGCGUCUCCCCGCCUUCCCCCGCGGCGGCGCCUGCGCGGUGCGCGCGGUCGGUGCGUGGCGUGCGGCGCGGUGGGGGCGGCUGGGGGCGGGGCGGGUAUAUAUAGUGCGCGGCCGGGGCGGCGGCCUCCCCCUUGUCCCCCGGCCGCCGUCGGAGCUGUGUGCGCAGUGCGUGUGCUCCGGACACCCGGACACGCCGGCCCGG